AUGACAGACUUAAAUUUCUACAUAAAACCUUCUUCCUGGCAAUGCCAUUCAAAAACCAAGCAGAGCAGGGAGGGGUUGAUGCUACACACGAAUACUCGAUCAAACCUAAUGAAAGCAGAAGUAAUCACUUUGGACGAGCUGUGGAUCGAGCAUGAACUUGAUUCAAGAAAGGAUCGCGUCCCAGUCGAUCUCGAGCGACGGGUACUUGCGCAGCAGGGACUCGUCCCAUGGAGCCUCCGAGAAAUCAAGAAGCUGCAUCUCCGGGACGACGUCGGAGCACGAGGACACCUCGCCGUCAGCCGACGAAGAGCUCUCGGAGACGGAGCAGACUGGCUCGCUCUUGACGUCCGGGAAAGAAAUCGGCGUCAGUGUCGGCGUCGGCGCCGGCGUCUCAUUGCUCUGGCUCUGCGGCAUGUCUUCCCCGUGGCAGAUGGAGCGGAGCUUGGCGUCGAUCGCGGCAUCGAGCGGCGGGCCGUGGUGCUCGCCGCCGCGCCUGAGCUCGGGGAAGUUGAGCCUGGCGGACUCGCCGCGGAGCCGGAAGGCGGCGGCGUCGUAGGCCAGCGCGGCCUCGUCGGCGGUGUCGAAGGUGCCGAGCCAGAGGCGGGUGCGGUUGCGGGGCAGGCGGAUCUCCGCGACCCACUUCCCCCAAUGCCGCUGCCGCACGCCGCGGUACAGCUUGGUCGCCGGCCGCACCGGGAGCGCCGCCACGCCGUGCCGCUUCAUCGGCUGCCCCACCGCGGCCAUGGGCGCGCCCGGCGCCCGGCGCACGUGGUGGAGCUGCGACUGGAGCUGGAGGAUUUGCGCGGGAGUGAGGUAGGUGGCGCCACGAAGCAGGCCGGCGCUCUGAUCCGCGCCGGGGCAUGGGAAGGCGAACGAGAUGGUCGGAGCCGCGCCCUGCGCCGUCGGCGGAGCGAACGCGUGCAUUACCUGGUCUCUGCUGUCCACCAUGCGGUACAUCGCCGCAGGAAGAUCGGGCCUAUAGCUGCGCCAGUCCACCGUCGUCGCCAUGCCCUGUCGAUCAAGAAACGCCGACGAUUUGGAGGAAGAGAAGCCGAGGAGAGCUGGUAA
Molecule: ribosomal RNA, 1068 nt
Filed under: Triticum aestivum (bread wheat)
Lineage: Eukaryota; Viridiplantae; Streptophyta; Magnoliopsida; Poales; Poaceae
Description: partial small subunit ribosomal RNA
Source: RNAcentral